Molecule: ribosomal RNA, 622 nt
Filed under: uncultured archaeon
Lineage: Archaea
Description: bacterial SSU rRNA
Rfam family: Archaeal small subunit ribosomal RNA
Source: RNAcentral
UAAUGUUCCAUAGUGGAUAUGUCCUGGAAUGGUAUAUCCUCGAAAGAUCCGUCGCCUUAGGAUGGGACUGCGUCCGAUUAGGUUGUUGGCGGGGUAACGGCCCACCAAGCCAUUGAUCGGUACGGGUUGUGGGAGCAAGAUCCCGGAGAUGGAUUCUGAGACAUGAAUCCAGGCCCUACGGGGCGCAGCAGGCGCGCAAACUUUACAAUGCGAGCAAUCGUGAUAAGGAAACCCUGAGUGCCUGUCGAUGCAGGCUGUUCAUAUAUCUAAAUCAUAUGUGAAGAAAGGGCAGGGCAAGACCGGUGCCAGCCGCCGCGGUAAUACCGGCUGCUCGAGUGAUGGCCACUAUUACUGGGUUUAAAGCGUCCGUAGCUUGACUGUUAGGUCUCUUGGGAAAUCUUCACGCUCAACGUGAAGGCGUCUAAGAGAUACCGGCAGUCUUGGAGCUGGGAGAGGUAAACCGUACUUCGGGGGUAGGAGUGAAAUCCUGUAAUCCUCGAGGGACGACCUAUGGCGAAGGCAGUUUACCGGAACAGCUUCGACAGUGAGGGACGAAAGCUGGGGGAGCAAACGGGAUUAGAUACCCCGGUAGUCCCAGCCGUAAACAAUGUGCGUUAGGUGU